Long non-coding RNA from Brachypodium distachyon (stiff brome), 3829 nucleotides. RefSeq lists it as uncharacterized. Lineage: Eukaryota; Viridiplantae; Streptophyta; Magnoliopsida; Poales; Poaceae. The record is from RefSeq and is a predicted model, not a curated record. The transcript is spliced from 3 exons.
GUAGCCCAUUUCUCCUUCCCCCUCCGUCUUCCCCGCAUCCGACAGAGAGAGAGAGCGGCGCCGCCCGUGGCGUCGAGCUCCCAGCCAGCAUCCAAGGCGGCGCGCAGGCUGCGCUCGCCGGAGCAGCGUGCUGGGACCCUAUAUAUCCCGCGCGCUCCUUCGUCGAGUGUGGCCACCGACGCCGCACCUUCAGGCGACGACGGCGACGGGCGGCGUGAAAGCCAACGCCGUCUCGUCCAUUCCGCGCGCCCUCGCCCUCGCGCAGCAGGUCCCCGAAGGGUUAGGCAAUGGCACGGCGGCGUCCUCCGGUGAUACGGGGCGGGAGUGUUGGCAGUGGCGGCAGCAGCAUGUAUUAUGAACCUCGCUACGCAUGUACUUAACCGAUUACUCCCAGAUACUCUUUCAACCUUUUUAUACUUGAUUGGUGCAUAUCCUUUUCUACUAAACUGUUCUUUGGAUGAGUAGCCAUUCAAAGAGAUGGAAGAGUUUCACCUUACAAGCUUAGUAGUUUGUUGGUGGUCCACUCUCAACCUCUCUGUGCAUAUAUAGAUCUCGGUUGCUACAUGCGAAUGUGAUGGUGUAAAUAGAAAAAAAAUCAUUUUCAUUUUUCAUAGGUAUAGUCCAUACAACUUCACCUCUCGCUAAAUUAUAGUCGUAGAACACUGAUGAGUUCUAUUAAUAUAUGGCCGCAGAUGAAUUGUUGAUGACCUCCCAUAAUUCUUGUAGAUAUAUGGCCGGUCUUGAAUUAAUAUAGUGGCUGCAUCCAAAGAGGCUUUAUUUUUAGAGGGUGUAAAAGGUGGAAUCGACUCAUUUUAAUUUGUCAUAAAUACUAGAAUAUGUAUUUUUCAAUCUCAGCUAUCUCCCAAGUUUGGUUUUCAAAGUAGUUUAUCUUCCUAAUCAAUUUAUAUACUUCCUCUGUCCUCUUAUGAUGGACGCUUACACAUUUCAAAAUUUUACUUUGACCGUUAAUUACAUCUACUUCCUCCGUCACAUAUUAAGUGACUUUCUAUUACAUGUAUCUAGACGCUUUUUAGACAUAGAUACAUCCAUAUUUUGACAAAUUUGAGUCACUUAAUAUGAGACAAAGGGGGAGUAUAAUACAUGUGUUAUGUGGUGUAAAAAUUAUAUCAUCGAAAGCUUCUUUCAAGUACGAAUACAAUGAUAUGAUUUUCAUGGCACAUAAAAAACAUAUUAUCUAUCGAAUUAGCGGGCAAAGUUAAAAAUUUAAAUACGUGCAGAUCCACUAUAACAGAACAUGAGUACUUGUACCGAUUCAAUUUGUGCUUGACCCAUGGCUAUCACGCAUGUCACUUGUUUGAUGCGUAGACACUACGCAACAUAUAAAAGAGUAGAAUGCAAGUAAUUUUGAGUCUUAGAUGUUGGUACAUCUUUCUAUAAACUUGUCAAAGUUUAAAAUGUUUGACUUGGGACAAAGCUAGGACUUCAAACAUUUAGAAACGGAGGGAGUACAUGCAAAAUCAAAGAAAGAACUGGUCUAUGGCUUGCACAACAAGUUUGGAAAGCUCCAUACUACAUAUUCCACGUUCUGGACAUGACAGGCUUAUUGAAAAAACACGAAAGAUACAUGGUGCAACAAUGUUAACAAAGUAACAUUGUCCACUACAAAGAUAAAGGGCCAGUUCUUUUCGGCUUCUUGGACCGGCUUCUCCGAGAAGCUGCUCUCCCCCAGCUUCCUGGAGAAGCCGCCACCUAAAUUUGAUUAGGCUACCAAACUAGUUUGGGCUAAACUACUUUGGAAGUCAACCUAAAUCUGUGAUGUGGCAUCUCCAGGAAAUUAGGUGAGGGCAGCUUCUACGAGAAGCCGGAGAAGCCGAAAAGAACGCAGCCAAAUAGUAUAGAGAAAUUCCAAACUGAGAUGUUCGGAUGCGUGUCUUUGUAGGCAGAUAAGUAGAUGUCUACUCGAUCUUGUUACAUGGAAAAUGGCUUCAGAAACUGAUUGCUAACAUGCUCUUCAAGGAGCUUGUUGUAUGUGAAUGCAUCUUUCCUGUCAUCGUAGUACAAGUGCAUGCUAAUCGUCAUGUUUAUUACCCGCUGCACUGCUGGGAGCAGCGCGCGAUAUUCAAAGAGAGCCUGAUUCGUGGUUUUCCAUUCAUCCAGUGAAUUGAUCCUGGCAAAGGCAUCCUCACUCGUGAGUCUAUGCUCACUGAUAUAACAUUCUACAGAACUUUCUAUAUCCCCCCUGUUCUUUCCGCGCUGCAUGUUCAUACAGUAAGAUUAAUUAGAUAAACUAUAUAUCAUUGCAUACUAUAAAAUUACUUUAGUCAGACAUUACUUUGAAUGCAGCGAUGUCAUUCAGAAAAUGCCCAAUCUUUGCGCCUGCUAUGACUACAUCAGGUCUGUCAAAAGCCCACCCCACUGCUUCUUUUGUUAUUGAACCACCCAUGCCAACCAUGUAACCACAGACAGCAAUGGCAUGGCAGAGGACAUUACUGAAAGAUUAACUUGAUCCAUAAAACAUGGCUUGUGAUUCUGGUGUACCCAUUCGGCUUCUUGUAGAUAGUAAGUGGACUGGUUUUGGAACUGCAAGUAGGCCUGGUAAUGGUGCGGUCUCGUUUGGUUUUUCUGGUGUGGAAACACACUUGGUUCCGGUUGGUCUGGGCUCGAUUGGUUUGAGAUUAAAAGCGGUCUGGAUCGGUAUGGUUUUAGUCAAAUUGCGGUUCGGAACGGUUUGGUUCGGGCUGCAGCAGCCCAGCAAGGCCACUGGGCCACUCUCCCUUCCCCCGCCGAUGCCUCCGGCCGCCGUCGCAUCCAUCGUCGCCCUUCCACUUCCCUCACGUCGGCCGCUCGCUCAUCCAGCCCAGAGAAGCCCCUUCGCCCCAGCUCGGUCGUGGCUGGCAUCUAAGGGGACGGUGGACUUGGAUCGCUGCCGGUGGGGAUAGAAGAUCCCAGCCGCUGCUAGGCAGAGAAUAGAAGGGAAGAGAGGAUAGCAGGGAAUAGGAGAUCCUAUAUGUAAGAGAGGGGGAUGCGACGGGCAGAGGAGAUCGAUGGGAAAAACAGAAGGCCGGCGAGCAGGGAAGAGGAGAUCGGCGGCUAGAGCUGGGGCACAAUCAGUUUUCAACUGUCUUCCUCCCCAACUAAAGGUAUAUACCCUAAAAACUUCAGCAAUCAGCCUAAUUAAUGGUAGAUCUGUGUGCUCAGUGUUGAUGUGUCGAUGGCAGGUUUGUGUAUAUAUUGUGUAUUUCAGCCGUUCUCUGUUCAUACUUGUUGCCCCUUUUGAUCGAUUUUUUUAUUGUGAAUGGUUAAUGAUGCAUGGACAGCAGAUAAUAUGUUGAUACGAUUAUGUGCAGAAUCUUGAAAUCUGAUAUUCCAUGAAGCUUUUUUGCAAUACUCAAGUUGUCCUGAAGUUGUCUGAAUCUUUUGGUUGUCUGAAUCUUUAAGUUGCUGUAUGAUAUAUAACUAUUGGCAUAUAACAUAAGUUAUCUGAAUCUUUAAGCUGUGUUCUUGAACUUGACAUAUAAGUUAUCUGAAUCUUUAAGCUGUGUUCUUGAACUUGACAUUUUACGCUGCGACAAUUUAAGAUUCCAAUUUGAUAAGCUCAUUCAUUGUUGUACAGGACGUCUAUAAGAAUAUAUCUUCCACAAUUUUGGGUUUAGUUCAAGACCUUAACGUUGCUGUUUUUGCUUAUGGUUACUAUACUGGAUGAGGAUGAUCAACAUGGGCGUCAGGGUUAGCAGUUGAUGGAAUCAUUAUUGUCUUCAUUAAAAUAGACCCUUGAUGAAUCUUCAGAAGGACUAUAUAUAGUUUCUAAUGUAAUAAUAUAUGAAGUUUGACGAUGAUUUCAUUAAAAUAGACCAGUGACCACUGAAGA